This 468-nucleotide ribosomal RNA is filed under the name uncultured bacterium. RNAcentral describes it as "partial 16S ribosomal RNA". It matches the Rfam family "Bacterial small subunit ribosomal RNA", at positions 28 to 507 of the family's 1533-position model. The record is from RNAcentral.
GACGAACGCUGGCGGCGUGCUUAACACAUGCAAGUCGAACGGAAAAGCCCUGCUUUUGUGGGGUGCUCGAGUGGCGAACGGGUGAGUAACACGUGAGUAACCUGCCCUUGACUUUGGGAUAACUUCAGGAAACUGGGGCUAAUACCGGAUAGGAGCUCCUGCUGCAUGGUGGGGGUUGGAAGGUUUCGGCGGUUGGGGAUGGACUCGCGGCUUAUCAGCUUGUUGGUGGGGUAGUGGCUUACCAAGGCUUUGACGGGUAGCCGGCCUGAGAGGGUGACCGGCCACAUUGGGACUGAGAUACGGCCCAGACUCCUACGGGAGGCAGCAGUGGGGAAUAUUGCACAAUGGGCGGAAGCCUAAUGCAGCAACGCCGCGUGCGGGAUGACGGCCUUCGGGUUGUAAACCGCUUUCGCCUGUGACGAAGCGUGAGUGACGGUAAUGGGUAAAGAAGCACCGGCUAACUACGUG